ACGAACGCUGGCGGCGUGCUUAACACAUGCAAGUCGAACGGAAAGGCCCUGCUUUUGUGGGGUGCUCGAGUGGCGAACGGGUGAGUAACACGUGAGUAACCUGCCCUUGACUUUGGGAUAACUUCAGGAAACUGGGGCUAAUACCGGAUAGGAGCCCCUGCUGCAUGGUGGGGGUUGGAAAGUUUCGGCGGUUGGGGAUGGACUCGCGGCUUAUCAGCUUGUUGGUGGGGUAGUGGCUUACCAAGGCUUUGACGGGUAGCCGGCCUGAGAGGGUGACCGGCCACAUUGGGACUGAGAUACGGCCCAGACUCCUACGGGAGGCAGCAGUGGGGAAUAUUGCACAAUGGGCGGAAGCCUGAUGCAGCAACGCCGCGUGCGGGAUGACGGCCCUCGGGUUGUAAACCGCUUUCGCCUGUGACGAAGCGUGAGUGACGGUAAUGGGUAAAGAAGCACCGGCUAACUACGUG
RNAcentral lists this ribosomal RNA (467 nucleotides) under uncultured bacterium. Its description in RNAcentral is "partial 16S ribosomal RNA". It matches the Rfam family "Bacterial small subunit ribosomal RNA", at positions 29 to 507 of the family's 1533-position model. The record is from RNAcentral.